GACAGAGGGGGCAAGCGUUGCUCGGAAUUACUGGGCGUAAAGGGCGCGUAGGCGGAAUGGCAAGUCGGUCGUGAAAUCCUUCGGCUCAACCGAAGAACGUCGAUCGAAACUGCCGUUCUUGAGGAUUGCAGAGGAGACUGGAAUUCCCGGUGUAGCGGUGAAAUGUGUAGAGAUCGGGAGGAACACCGGUGGCGAAGGCGGGUCUCUGGGCAAUUCCUGACGCUGAGGAGCGAAAGUGUGGGGAGCGAACAGG
Molecule: ribosomal RNA, 253 nt
Filed under: uncultured bacterium
Lineage: Bacteria
Description: partial 16S ribosomal RNA
Rfam family: Bacterial small subunit ribosomal RNA
Source: RNAcentral